UGCAGCUGAAGCGGCGCCUCGUCGGGCUCAGGGAGCCGGCGCGGGGUCCCGGCGUGUCGCGGAAGCCUUCUGGCUCCGCUGGUCUCGUCGGGGGCUCCCGCGUCGGCCCUGCACUUCCGCGAGGAGCCGGCCAACGGCGGUUGCCUUCGGCUCGGCGGGCGUCCGGGGAGGUGGCUCUGCGCUUGCGUGGAGACCGUACAGCCCGGCGCGCGGCAGUUCGGGGGCGACCGAGGAGAGCGUUGCGGUCCUUCGCACGCUGCGGCGCGGGCCGACUCCGGUCGGCUGCGGCCCUCCGUCGGGAGGUCUCCCGCUUUGGUGCACUGCGUGCAGUGCCCGAGGACGGACGAGGUCCUUCCGGUCGGGGAGGUUCGACAACUCGCGCCGAGGUCGUUGGCGUCCGAAUGGCUGCAUCCGACCCGUCUUGAAACACGGA
Molecule: ribosomal RNA, 433 nt
Filed under: Mycale parishii
Lineage: Eukaryota; Metazoa; Porifera; Demospongiae; Poecilosclerida; Mycalidae
Description: partial large subunit ribosomal RNA
Source: RNAcentral